CAAAAUACAGUUUCCUCUUGAAGCUCCUGCAUGUCCAACAUCUUGAAGAUGAGGAGUCUUUAAAAGACCAUUUGCUCCAUCUUCUGCAUUCAGGCUGAAUUGUUUAAAAGCAUUUCAGAAAGAUGAGAAUCUACCCUACUUAAAAAAAAAAAUUCCACGGAAGGAAUAUCAGAGAACCAAAAGUAAUAUUAUCGAAGUUAAAUUCCUCAAGUUUCAACUAAAACUGGGCUCUUCUUGUUGUUUGUUUAGAGGAGAUGAAAAGUAGCUCUUCACUGUGUGAAAGCCAUUCCUACACUUGAAAGACAUUGUUAUGUGGCUCUUUCUGCUAAAAAUAAUCUCAUUUCCUUAGAAGAUUUUCUAAGUUUUAUUUCCCAGUUUUGACCCUGUGAAGGUUAAUGAGAGAAUCUGAUACUGAGGGGGAGAGCACAUGAAACCUGCCAGGACUUUACUUAUUUAAAACAUUUUUACAAUUAUUAUUUCCUGUUCAUUCUGGAGAAUCUACAGAGCUCUUCACUGGGGAGAUGGCAGAGAGCUGAAGAGCUGACAGGAUAGGAAAGAGCCAGUGAAAUAUUUGAAUUUACCUGUCUGUGUAGCACAAGGACCAGUGACAUGUUGUAAACUAAUGACAGGAAGAGUAGCACAAAAGCAACUUUGAUUGAAUUGGGCCUCCUGGUGGCGCCAGUCUGAAGUGCCUCAGAACAUGGCAUCAUGGGAGACUCCUCUGGUGCCGGUUCUCCUAGUCCAGUCACUGGCUGUGAGGUUUCAACAUGGCUGCUCCUGUUUUCCUCCCAGCCCUGCUACCAAAUGACUGUCCUGCAGGACAAUUCCUGGGAGUGGUUGGGAUCAACUCCUCAUGGAACAAUUGCCGCCACGUCAUAGGUGUAGGUUUGCAAGGGUGGUGUUCCAGAGCUGUUGAUUCCCUCCUUUGCAGUCUAUCUUUGAUCCACAUCAGUUGCACUAGGUAGAUGGUACUGUCUGGAUUCAGCUUCUUUCUCCUACAUGUGAAUAACCGUGUUCAAGGUAAUACCAUGUGUUAAUUUGGCCAUUUUUAAAACUAGUUAAAACAGUAAAGUUAUUUGUCUAAAUAACAUAUAGUCAUAGCAAAUUUAAAAACUUAAUACCUAACUAUGGUAAAAUGUAAUUUUCGCUAACCCUGAACUCACUUCAGUUUCUGCUUAGGCUAAUCCUGACUCUAAGAAAAUAUUUUAAAAACAUUCAUUCAACAAAUAUGCUUUGAGGCAUCCUUUGGUAUCAAGCACUGUGCUAGGCACUGAGUCUGCAAUAAUGAAUAAGACAAAGUUGAUCUUUGUCCACAGAGAGAUGAUAGUCUGCAGGAUGCAGUGUUCUAAUGGAUUGAAAACCUCUUCUGGAAUUGCAGUUCUUUCAGGAUAUAUGUGACUUCCAGACUUCUUUGUACCGCAGCAUCACAUGCAGGAGAUGCUCCAAGUUCGGGAGGCAAGAACAAUGGAGGAGGAGUGAUGUCUAGAAGCAGCAGUGGCAGCAUGAAGACUGUCCAUCCACCUGCCUUCGUGACUUUAAAGUGCUUAAUAAAGUCUUCAUAGGACAACCAACUCCAGUUCUCUUAGAAUGACUCUCCUGGGCCACAGCAGAGCACUGAGGAGCUGUGCUGAUCUCUUGAAGACUGGUUCCAUUAAGUGGCCACCAAGGAUAAGAAGGUUCUCUUUCUUACAGAUCCUGAAACUGUUGUUCAGAGAAGUUAGGUGAAGUGCUCAAAAUACACAGAGAUGCAGAGCUGUGACUCAACCUGGGUCUUCUGAUUUGGAGUUCUGGGUAGUUUCUACCAUAUCUGUACCAUCAACCACUGACAUUGUUGACAGGAAAAAUGUGUG
RNAcentral lists this long non-coding RNA (1850 nucleotides) under Equus asinus (donkey). RNAcentral's name for it is "lncRNA (ENSEASG00005032376.1)". Lineage: Eukaryota; Metazoa; Chordata; Mammalia; Perissodactyla; Equidae. The record is from RNAcentral.